This 535-nucleotide ribosomal RNA is filed under the name Mycetocola sp. bw9. RNAcentral describes it as "bacterial SSU rRNA". It matches the Rfam family "Bacterial small subunit ribosomal RNA", at positions 102 to 651 of the family's 1533-position model. The record is from RNAcentral. Lineage: Bacteria; Bacillati; Actinomycetota; Actinomycetes; Micrococcales; Microbacteriaceae.
ACGGGUGAGUAACACGUGAGUAACCUGCCCUUGACUCUGGGAUAAGCGUUGGAAACGACGUCUAAUACCGGAUACGACCCGCGAAGGCAUCUUCUUCGGGUGGAAAGAAUUUUGGUCAAGGAUGGACUCGCGGCCUAUCAGGUAGUUGGUGAGGUAAUGGCUCACCAAGCCUACGACGGGUAGCCGGCCUGAGAGGGUGACCGGCCACACUGGGACUGAGACACGGCCCAGACUCCUACGGGAGGCAGCAGUGGGGAAUAUUGCACAAUGGGCGAAAGCCUGAUGCAGCAACGCCGCGUGAGGGAUGACGGCCUUCGGGUUGUAAACCUCUUUUAGCAGGGAAGAAGCGAAAGUGACGGUACCUGCAGAAAAAGCACCGGCUAACUACGUGCCAGCAGCCGCGGUAAUACGUAGGGUGCAAGCGUUGUCCGGAAUUAUUGGGCGUAAAGAGCUCGUAGGCGGUUUGUCGCGUCUGCUGUGAAAACUGGAGGCUCAACCUCCAGCCUGCAGUGGGUACGGGCAGACUAGAGUGCGG